UACGGAGGGUGCAAGCGUUAUCCGGAUUUACUGGGUUUAAAGGGUGCGUAGGUGGGCCUGUAAGUCAGUGGUGAAAUCUUCAAGCUUAACUUGGAAACUGCCAUUGAUACUAUAAGUCUUGAAUUAUCUGGAGGUAAGCGGAAUAUGUCAUGUAGCGGUGAAAUGCUUAGAGAUGACAUAGAACACCCAUUGCGAAGGCAGCUUACUACGGAUUGAUUGACACUGAGGCACGAAAGCGUGGGGAUCAAACAGG
Molecule: ribosomal RNA, 253 nt
Filed under: uncultured bacterium
Lineage: Bacteria
Description: partial 16S ribosomal RNA
Rfam family: Bacterial small subunit ribosomal RNA
Source: RNAcentral